GGAUUAGAUACCCUGGUAGUCCACGCCGUAAACGAUGUCAACUAGCUGUUUGUGUUCUUGAAACGUGAGUAGCGUAGCUAACGCGCUAAGUUGACCGCCUGGGGAGUACGGCCGCAAGGUUAAAACUCAAAUGAAUUGACGGGGGCCCGCACAAGCGGUGGAGCAUGUGGUUUAAUUCGAUGCAACGCGAAGAACCUUACCUGGUCUUGACAUCCCAAGAAGUCUUUAGAGAUAGAGAUGUGCCUUCGGGAACUUGGAGACAGGUGCUGCAUGGCUGUCGUCAGCUCGUGCUG
RNAcentral lists this ribosomal RNA (293 nucleotides) under uncultured bacterium. RNAcentral describes it as "partial 16S ribosomal RNA". It matches the Rfam family "Bacterial small subunit ribosomal RNA", at positions 775 to 1067 of the family's 1533-position model. The record is from RNAcentral.